UCGCUACGAGGGAGUGGACCAUUUACUGAAGUCUGUUUUACCGAUAUCACUUCGGAAAUUAGCCUAAAGUUGAUGGUCUCGACCACGUAAAAGUCGUAACAAGGUUU
Molecule: ribosomal RNA, 107 nt
Filed under: uncultured eukaryote
Lineage: Eukaryota
Description: partial small subunit ribosomal RNA
Rfam family: Eukaryotic small subunit ribosomal RNA
Source: RNAcentral